UACGUAGGGAGCAAGCGUUGCUCGGAUUUACUGGGCGUAAAGGGCGCGUAGGCGGCGCGGUAAGUCACUUGUGAAAUCUCUGAGCUUAACUCAGAACGGCCAAGUGAUACUGCUGUGCUAGAGUGCAGAAGGGGCAAUCGGAAUUCUUGGUGUAGCGGUGAAAUGCGUAGAUAUCAAGAGGAACACCUGAGGUGAAGACGGGUUGCUGGGCUGACACUGACGCUGAGGCGCGAAAGCCAGGGGAGCAAACGGG
This 253-nucleotide ribosomal RNA is filed under the name uncultured bacterium. RNAcentral describes it as "partial 16S ribosomal RNA". It matches the Rfam family "Bacterial small subunit ribosomal RNA", at positions 524 to 776 of the family's 1533-position model. The record is from RNAcentral.